GGGAUGCGGUUCGAUAAAAUUGCUCCCCUUGUUUAUUUCGCUCUCCUGUCAAAUCAUGUAAUUUCGCUAACUCCAAUGGUAGACGCGACAACGAUGGGUGUCGUCAGGACAGGUACGAUUAAAGGAAUCAGUUAGGAAUUAGACGAUCCCCAUUGGUAUAGUGUCGAAAAGGAUGAUAGACAGUAGUUUUAUCAAGAAGUUAUGGAGAUUGUUCCCGAAUAGAUUCCUUAACAUCACAGUGUAUAAGAGACUAAUGAGCCUCGUCUAGUGCAAGCAACUGACAUGCCCUACCUGUUACGCUGAAAUCAUGUUUAUUAUUGUAUAUUUACCUCAUGUUACACAUAUAUGUGUCUGAGCGUUGCUUUACAAUAAAUCUUAAAUCUUAAAAAAAAAAAAAAAAAA
Mytilus californianus (California mussel) is the source of this 402-nucleotide long non-coding RNA. RefSeq lists it as uncharacterized. The record is from RefSeq and is a predicted model, not a curated record. Lineage: Eukaryota; Metazoa; Mollusca; Bivalvia; Mytilida; Mytilidae. The transcript has 2 exons.